Malus domestica (apple) is the source of this 3170-nucleotide non-coding RNA. Lineage: Eukaryota; Viridiplantae; Streptophyta; Magnoliopsida; Rosales; Rosaceae. The record is from RefSeq and is a predicted model, not a curated record.
AAAAAAAAGAAAAAAAUCAAAGCUCCCCUGUUCUUGGCCACCCGCCACCCGCCGCCACCUCCUCCCGCCCCGCCCCCAUCAGCUCUGCCUUCUUGCUCGCCUUCAAAAUCCUAAUCGAACACAUUCUUCGUUCCCCCCGAUCAAUUGGUCGCAUUUUUUUAUUAUAAUAUAGAAAUGAACAGGUAAAGGCUCGAUUUUCACAAUGAGAAUCCGUUUGGAACCGGGGCAUGAUUCAGGAGGUGAAGGGGACCUGGAGAAGGGGCUGGCGCAGCCCUCGACCCCAGGAGCUCUGUCGGAGCCGCCGUCGUCGCCGCACCCGUCGAGGCCGGCCCUGGUGUUCUCCAAUUCCAGCAAGGCCCUACUGGUUUCAAAUUCCGGCAAGGCAUUGCUGGUUUCAAAUUCCGGCAAGGCAUUGCUGGUUUCAAAUUCCGGCAAGUCUCUGGUCGUGUCGAAUUCCGGGAAGCCCCUUGAUCAGUUGGGGAGGAAGAAGUAUGUGAAGCAGGUGACCGGGCGCAACAAUGACACGGAGCUUCACCUGGCUGCGCGCCGCGGGGAUUUGGCAGCGCUGCAGCAGAUUCUAGCGGAGAUUGACGCUCAGAUGGUGGGAUCCGAGUUUGAUGAAGAGGUGGCGGAGAUUAGGUCUGCCAUUGUGAAUGAGGUGAAUGAGUUGGGAGAGACGGCGCUUUUCAUAGCGGCGGAGCAGGGGCAUCUUGCUAUGGUGGAGGAGCUUUUGCCUUACAUGACGGAGGAGGGCAUUUUGUUGAAGAAUCAAAUUGGGUUUGAUGCAUUGCAUAUUGCUGCAAAUCAAGGGCACCAAGCCAUUGUCCAGGUGCUCUUAGACCAUGACCCGGGGCUUAGCAAAACAGUUGGGCAGGCAAAUGCGACCCCUCUUGUGUCUGCAGCUACAAGAGGGCAUACAGCAGUAGUUAAAGAAUUACUAUCCAAAGAUUCAAGUUUGCUGGAAUUAGCGAAAUCCAAUGGGAAGAAUGCAUUGCAUCUUGCUGCACGGCAGGGGCAUGUAGAAAUUGUGAAAACUUUGCUUGGAAGGGAUCCACAACUAGCAAGAAGAACUGAUAAGAAAGGACAAACUGCUUUGCAUAUGGCAGUAAAAGGUGUUAGCAGUGAAGUUGUGAGGUUGAUUGUCGAUGCGGAUCCAGCUAUUGUCAUGCUUCCAGACAAGUUCGGCAAUUCAGCAUUGCAUGUGGCCACCAGGAAAAAGCGAGUAGAUAUAGUCAAUGUGCUAUUGCUCGUUCAUGACACAAAUGUGAAUGUUCUAACAAGAGACCAGAAAACACCCCUUGAUAUAGCCGAAGGACUUCCAUACUCUGAAGAAAUCACAACAAUUAAGGAAACCUUGACUCAAUAUGGUGCUGUCCGAGCAAAUGAACUUAACCAGCCACGGGAUGAACUUAGAAACACCGUGACAGAGAUUAAAAAAAAUGUCCAUAAUCAGCUUGAACAAGCCCGCAAAACCAACCAGAGUGUAACUGGAAUUGCCACAGAGCUCCGGAAGCUACAGAGGGAAGGAAUCAAUAAUGCCACUAACUCAGUCACAGUGGUUGCUUCACUCUUUGCAACAGUAGCUUUUGCAGCUCUAUUUACACUUCCUGGUGGUGAUCUUGACUCCGGGGCAGCUGUUAUGUCAAUCCAAGUGUCAUUUAAAAUUUUCAUCCUUUUCAAUGCUGUUUCACUGUUCGCAUCAUUGGCUGUUGUUUUGGUACAAAUCACCCUCGUCAGGGGGGAGACAAAGGCGGAGAGGAGGGUUGUGGAAGUGAUCAAUAAGUUGAUGUGGCUUGCCUCUGUCUGCACCACAGUAGCAUUUAUUUCUUCAUCAUAUAUAGUGGUUGGGCGGCAUAAUGUGUGGGCUGCAAUCCUUGUCACAGUUAUAGGGGGACUUAUAAUGGGGGGAGUUAUUGGUACCAUGACAUAUUAUGUGGUGAAGACCAAAAGGAUUCGUAGAGUGAGGAAGAGGGAGAAGAUGUCGAGGAUUGGAACCAACCAUUCCGUGCAUCACUCAGAGUCCGAUUCAGAAGUGAACCGUGUUUAUGCCCUGUGAUCAUAGUCUGGCUGGAACUAGCCUCUGGUUCUAUGCCACAUGGAGAAGAAAAUCAACGCAGGAUUAGCUGAUUCCAAAAAGGUUCUAAGCUAUAGAUACAAAAUUCAGGGACCUUGUAAUAGCAUCUGUGAAUUGACUAGUUUGAAAGUGAUUUUCUGGGUGUCUCAAGGAUUAAGAAAAUUUUCAGCAAAACUGUUGAUGUCCUUGAAUCUUCAAAGGCAGCAAGUGAGAAAUAUCAUCUGUAUAUUAUAUGGCAUAUACAUGGUACCAGUCCAUUUGUAACUUGUAUAGGUUUUUGUCAGUGGUGAGUUGCUAUUCGCAUUCUAGCAAUAGGUAGUGACUGAUUAGUUGCUCAAAACUUUGAACGUCACUUUACUUGACAUUAAUGUCUGAUAACUGUCAAUGUAUCUGAUAUGUGAAUAAAACCUGAAGCAUUAUAUGUGCAUAGAAUCAGAUGGUUGAGAAAAGAAUGUAUUAGGUCGAUGUUGCUUGAACUUAUGUAUAAACAGAGUUUGCUGUGGAUGCCUACGGUACAGGUUUCCGUUUCUACUUUUCCCUCAUCCCAUGUUUUUUCCACUCUAAAUUGAAAAGUUGCUAUAUUGUAUUGGGGACUUUGCUUCUACUACUGAUGAGGGAUUGCUUAUGAAUGCCGUGACUGUUGAAGUUAUUGUCCAUGCAGAUGAGAGAAGCAGUGCUCCAAUUAGAGGAUUCGAGAUUUUGACAAUGUUUCUGCAGAAGGAUAAAAAAAAACGUUUGCUUCAGUGUAAUAAAUCUGGCGGAUGACGAUCCCAUCGCACGACUGACCUCUUUUCAUACACUGGAAGACUUCGACAUCCUUGACUUGUUCGUUAGCCGAAGCUGGUAGCCAAGGGCCAAGGCAUGCUUUCUUCCUCUAAUUGACGUCUCUAUCAUCGUCAAUGCGCGUUAGGACUGCGCGUAGGGAUGACCCCAUUUGAUUAAACACUUGUUUAGGUUGGGAUGUAUCUCAGUGAACAAAAAAACAAUGCAGAUAUUCUGACGUCGAUGUCAAGCAAUCCACUUCAUGGAACAGAUAAUCCAUUAUAUUACGUAUAUUUAUUCGUCCGCUAAUAAAGAUUGUGAUUGGUUGGGAUAA